This is a non-coding RNA of Brassica napus (rape), 103 nucleotides long. The record is from Rfam. Lineage: Eukaryota; Viridiplantae; Streptophyta; Magnoliopsida; Brassicales; Brassicaceae.
AUGUCCCCUUGAGUUCCCUGAAACGCUUCAUUGUUCAUUACGUAGAUGUUUAGUAAUUCAAUCUAAUGAACACUGAAGUGUUUGGGGGGACUCUAGGUGGUAU